Molecule: ribosomal RNA, 300 nt
Filed under: uncultured Vulcanisaeta sp.
Lineage: Archaea; Thermoproteati; Thermoproteota; Thermoprotei; Thermoproteales; Thermoproteaceae
Description: bacterial SSU rRNA
Rfam family: Bacterial small subunit ribosomal RNA
Source: RNAcentral
GCUACACUGGGCGAGCAGCUGCGGUAAAGAAGAGGGUGGGGGUGUUAAUCGGGAGUACUGGGCGUAAGGUGAGGGUAGGGUGCUGAGUAGUGCACAUGUGAAAUCCACGGGCUUAACCUGGGAACUGCAUGGGAUACUGGUGGUGCUAGAAUAUGUGAGAUGGAAGUAGAAUUCCAGGGGUAGCGGUGAAAUGCGUAGAGAUCUGGAGGAAUACCGAUGGCGAAGGCAGCUUCCUGGCAUAAUAUUGACACUGAGAUUCGAAAGCGUGGGUAGCAAACAGGAUUAGAUACCCUGGUAGUC